UCCCAGAGCUCCGACCUCAUCCGCCA
This 26-nucleotide non-coding RNA is filed under the name Homo sapiens (human). Lineage: Eukaryota; Metazoa; Chordata; Mammalia; Primates; Hominidae. The record is from RNAcentral.